UGUUCCAUUUUCAGUUGGUAGAGCACAAGACUCUUAAUCUCUAGGUUGUGGGUUCGAGCCCCAACUUGGGCAA
This 73-nucleotide transfer RNA is filed under the name Podarcis lilfordi (Lilford's wall lizard). RNAcentral's name for it is "tRNA.Lys". The record is from RNAcentral. Lineage: Eukaryota; Metazoa; Chordata; Lepidosauria; Squamata; Lacertidae.